UAAUAAUUAUUUUAAUAAAAUUUAAUAUGAAACUCAUUUUUAAAGUUUAAAAGUAUUGGCGGUAUUUAAUUUUAUUCUGAGAAACUUGCUUGUUUAAAAUGAUAUUACACAAUUUAUCUUAUCAUAUUUCUUUGGUUUAUGUAUUGCUGUUUAAUUAAUGAGUUAUUUUACAAUAAUAAUUAGUGAAAUUAAGUUAAGAUUUAUUAGAAAAUUCAAGUCAAAAUGUAGUUUUAAUAUGGUAUAAGUGAGUUGCUUUUUGUUAAGAACAUAGUAUAAAGGCAAUAGUUGAAAUUUUUUUGUGGAAUUUGGAUUAGAAAGUAAGGGAAGAAUAAUUAGUUUUCUUGAUAUUUUAUAUUAAUAUGUACAUAUUGCCCGUCGC
Molecule: ribosomal RNA, 379 nt
Filed under: Schizomida sp. MCZ IZ-79798 106212
Lineage: Eukaryota; Metazoa; Arthropoda; Arachnida; Schizomida
Description: partial 12S ribosomal RNA
Source: RNAcentral